AAAAACAGUAGAAAAAAGAGCGCUGGUCAAUUUCAUCCCCGUAACCGCUAAAAGUAAUAAACAGUCAAAAGCAAAACCACGAAUUGGUUUAAGACUUACACAAAGCUACACAUACAGAUAGAGAUCGAUCGUGACUUAAAACAAACACUGACGAACCUCAAAAGCCAUUAAUGGCAUCAUCACGAAUCAUAUCUCAUUCACCACCAAAUCUCCACCGUCAAUCUUCCCCUUUCGACACCGUUAAACCCCUUCCACCUCAAAAUCUCANNNNNNNNNNNNNNNNNNUAGUAGUAGUCACAGUAAUAACGACCUCAACGACACCGUCGAAUUGCGAACAAACUCCGUUUCCGCCGUCUCAAACGACGUCGUUUCCAAAGAUCCGAUCUCUCUUCCUCGUGCGUAUUACUCUUCCCUCUCUCUCACCUCUCUUCCUCUCUCUCUCUCUCUAACN
RNAcentral lists this long non-coding RNA (451 nucleotides) under Trifolium pratense (red clover). RNAcentral's name for it is "long non-coding RNA (TPRA_LNC002379)". Lineage: Eukaryota; Viridiplantae; Streptophyta; Magnoliopsida; Fabales; Fabaceae. The record is from RNAcentral.